GGAGCACUGCUUCCACAGACACGACCCGGGAGUCCGAGUCCCACAUCCAGAUCACCCAGCUCGAUUAACACGGAUUAAUAAAAGGGCCACCUGCAGGGAGGAACAUGGAGCCGGCUGCCCGCGCUGAGACCAAGGCUGCAGACAAGACACGGAUCAGUGUGUUUCAGGGGAAUGCACAAUGAUGUCACAGACAGGAAAAGGUUGGAAAGGACUUGGCACCUUUUGGAAUUGGCUGGAUCCCCAUUGGCUCAGCAGAAACGCUGGAAUAAUAAACAGGCAAUCUGAAGGCAACGAGCGCCGCUGACUCUUCACACAUGGUGUCAGGAGCCACUUGGUCAGAUGACAAAGACAAUGACAUCAACAACAACAGUAACGACAUGAAAAACAAGCUCACAUGCUUGUUAUAUGCAUGUAAGAAGCUAUUAGAUAUUAGAUUCAUGGUUUGUUUAGUUCUUAAAAAAUACAUGUUUUUUUUAUGAGCAUUUUGUAUUUUUUCCGAUUUCACAGAGAACUUCUCUAAGUCUGAAAAGUGAGAACUUCAUGUUUGAUAGCCUGAGCAGUUAAAAUAGUUAUAAAUUAUAAGAAUGAAGUCGGUGUUGAGAGCCCAGUGAUAAUCUUAGUUUAAGUCAACAUAAACCUCUUCUUAUCUCCUAUCUCCAUGUCAUCAGGGUGCCGGCUUUGUUCUGCACAACAGAACAACGGCUGUUUGCGACCUCAGUGCUAAAUCAAGUUCAAAGAGGAUGGCUCGUGUUUGACAGAUAGUUUUUCAUAAGGGCAGUGGGAGAACAGUGUUUGGUCAACCUCUGGCUCCCUCUUUGAUUCGCAGCUCUCUGUGACCCCUGGAAGAGCGCCACCACUUAAGGCCCUUCAUUCAGCCACGCUGGUCCGGCUGAUAAGAUCUGGGUGAUAACUGACUCGACUUACACAAUAUCCCUGCCUGUUAUAUUCACAGUGGCACAACAAGAACAUCCUUUAUAGAGAAGUGACACUUCCAUAAAAGACAGAAAUCAGAUUAUAUAAAUGUUGUAUGAAACAGUAAAUGUGAGUGCUUGGAUUCCUGAAUAGUUGGACCGCAUAAGUCUAUCACUAGGACACACAUUUUAUUACCUUCAUCACUACCUACUAUUUUGAGAAUAUGAAAAAUAAUAAAUUUGUGGUUAGACUAACUGAUUAGAUCUUUUGCUUGUGUUUCUUAAUUUGGUCUGUUUGAGAGUUUAAUUAAAUGUUUACCUGCAACAUCACCAACUGCAUGAUGGCAUUAAAUCAUCUUGUGCAUGAGUUCAGCUGUUGACAUGUGUUUCUUUUGUAUGUAUUCAUCCAAAGUAAAUAAAAAAGGAAAUAAACUUUAAAUCUCU
Molecule: long non-coding RNA, 1355 nt
Organism: Pseudoliparis swirei
Lineage: Eukaryota; Metazoa; Chordata; Actinopteri; Perciformes; Liparidae
Exons: 3
Source: RefSeq, a predicted model, not a curated record